UCCGCCCACACUUCAACUUUCUGCCCGACCCUUGUGUCAAGCGCACCAGCAGCAAGUUAUGCUGGUUGAGGAUGAUGCAAGAGAGACGCAGGAAUGGAUGGCAAAGAAGAAAGGCCGGGGGUGGGGUGGGGAAGUCGCUGAUAGCGCCGCGCCGCCUAUCAUCUAAUGCGGCCUGUGCAUGUUUCCGCAGUAUUUUACUUGGGGCUUACUCUCAAGUGGAAGGCCUCAUUUGGCAUUGCACAAAAAUCAGGAGAAAUGAACAGAAUCUUGAAAGGGCAAACCUAACUCGUUCAUGAAAAAGCUGCAUCUAACUGAAAAAUCACAUCCACUGAAAUUAUGAAAUGUUCGAGUAUAUGAAGAUUCCUCUUUGAAGGUAUGGUGUAGUUCAUUAGGACAUCUUACGAAAGAAAUUUCAACCAAGAGAAGAAUCAGACAAGGCUGUAUUCUGGCCAUGAUACAAUUUAAUUUUUAUAUUUAUUCUUUUGUUUCCCACCUGAAGGAUAUGAGAUAUCUUCUACCAAAGCUGGCUGUUAGGCAUUUACCGAUUCUGCUUUAUGCAGAUGAUGCUGUUCUGCUUUCCCAGAGAUUGAUUAGUUUGAGGAAAGUCUUGCAGACUCUUUCUUUGUAUUGUGAUCAGCGGGCAUUAGAAAUAAAUUAUGAUAAAACUAAAAUAAUGGCAUUUGGGAAAAGACCUAAAAUAAGAAAAUGGCUGUUGAAUAAUCAUAGGCUGGAGCUGGUUACACCAAUAUCUUGGUGUAAAUUGUGCAAGCAUCAGUCAGUAGAACAGCACAUUUAAAUUAUGUUCUUCAAAACACCCAGAGAUCCACAAGGGCUAUUCUAACAUUCUAUCGAUCCAAGGGUGCUCAAUUUGUCCCUGCUGCAGUUAAAUUCUAUUUAGCCAAGUCUCGUACACAGCUUCUAUAUGGGGGGCAUGUUGGUUUGUAUACAAAUCCUGCCAAAAUUGAAGCUCAACAGUCAAAGUUCUUCAAGAGCUUAUUGCAGACACCAAAGUGCUUCACACAAGCAGUGUGAAGUGCCAAAAUGGUGUUUGCGGGCUUGACCUGCUCUCCCCGCAGAAGCAGGGAGCUUCUUCUCCCGAGCAGAGAACCUUCCUUGGGCAGCCGGAUUAGCCGCUAGGAAUGUGCAUGAACCUGUUCGGAGGCCCUUUUAUGGGCCUCUGAACAGGUUCAAACACUGGGGAAUUUGAAGUUCGAAGGUGGAGUAUG
Molecule: long non-coding RNA, 1226 nt
Organism: Hemicordylus capensis (graceful crag lizard)
Lineage: Eukaryota; Metazoa; Chordata; Lepidosauria; Squamata; Cordylidae
Exons: 4
Source: RefSeq, a predicted model, not a curated record